This 424-nucleotide ribosomal RNA is filed under the name uncultured bacterium. RNAcentral describes it as "bacterial SSU rRNA". It matches the Rfam family "Bacterial small subunit ribosomal RNA", at positions 917 to 1344 of the family's 1533-position model. The record is from RNAcentral.
GGGCCCGCACAAGCGGUGGAGCAUGUGGUUUAAUUCGAUGAUACGCGAGGAACCUUACCAGGGCUUAAAUGUAAGUUGCAUAGAUCAGAGAUGGUCUUUUCUUCGGACUACUUACAAGGUGCUGCAUGGUUGUCGUCAGCUCGUGCCGUGAGGUGUCAGGUUAAGUCCUAUAACGAGCGCAACCCCUGUCGUUAGUUGCCAGCAAGUUAAGUUGGGCACUCUAGCGAGACUGCCGGUGCAAACCGCGAGGAAGGUGGGGAUGACGUCAAAUCAUCACGGCCCUUACGUCCUGGGCUACACACGUGCUACAAUGGCCGGUACAGAGAGCAGCCACUACGCGAGUAGGAGCGAAUCUAUAAAACCGGUCUCAGUUCGGAUCGCAGUCUGCAACUCGACUGCGUGAAGCUGGAAUCGCUAGUAAUCG